GACGAACGCUGGCGGCGUGCUUAACACAUGCAAGUCGUACGGUAAGGCCCUUUCGGGGGUACCCGAGUGGCGAACGGGUGCGUAACACGUGAGUAACCUGCCCACAACUUUGGGAUAACGCUAGGAAACUGGUGCUAAUACUGGAUAUGUGCUCCUGCUGCAUGGUGGGGGUUGGAAAGCUCCGGCGGUUGUGGAUGGACUCGCGGCCUAUCAGCUUGUUGGUGGGGUAGUGGCCUACCAAGGCGGCGACGGGUAGCCGGCCUGAGAGGGUGACCGGCCACAUUGGGACUGAGAGACGGCCCAGACUCCUACGGGAGGAAGCAGUGGGGAAGAUUGCACAAGGGGCGCAAGCCUGAUGCAGCAACGCCGCGUGCGGGAUGACGGCCUUCGGGUUGUAAAACGCUUUCAGCAGGGACGAAGCUUUUUGUGACGGUACCUGCAGAAGAAGCACCGGCUAACUACGUG
This 465-nucleotide ribosomal RNA is filed under the name uncultured bacterium. Its description in RNAcentral is "partial 16S ribosomal RNA". It matches the Rfam family "Bacterial small subunit ribosomal RNA", at positions 28 to 507 of the family's 1533-position model. The record is from RNAcentral.